Molecule: ribosomal RNA, 467 nt
Filed under: uncultured Psychromonas sp.
Lineage: Bacteria; Pseudomonadati; Pseudomonadota; Gammaproteobacteria; Alteromonadales; Psychromonadaceae
Description: bacterial SSU rRNA
Rfam family: Bacterial small subunit ribosomal RNA
Source: RNAcentral
UAGCUUGCUACUUUGCUGUCGAGUGGCGGACGGGUGAGUAAUGCUUGGGAAUAUGCCAAAACGUGGGGGACAACAGUUGGAAACGACUGCUAAUACCGCAUAAUGUCUUCGGACCAAAGCAGGGGACCUUCGGGCCUUGCGCGUUUUGAUUAGCCCAAGUGGGAUUAGCUAGUUGGUAAGGUAAUGGCUUACCAAGGCGACGAUCCCUAGCUGGUCUUAGAGGAUGACCAGCCACACUGGAACUGAGACACGGUCCAGACUCCUACGGGAGGCAGCAGUGGGGAAUAUUGCACAAUGGAGGAAACUCUGAUGCAGCCAUGCCGCGUGUGUGAAGAAGGCUUUCGGGUUGUAAAGCACUUUCAGUGGGGAGGAAAGGGUGCUGGUUAAUAGCCAGUAUCUGUGACGUUACCCACAGAAGAAGCACCGGCUAACUCCGUGCCAGCAGCCGCGGUAAUACGGAGGGUGCG